CUACAAAUUAGUGACAUGUUGAAUUGUUGUUUUUUUAAUUACUAUGCCAGCGCUUUUUGAGAGGUCUUAUUUUAUUCUUAAUUUAUUUUGCAAAUUUAUUUGAGGAUUAGGCCAUCCAAUUAAGAUAGAUUUCAUGUUGCUGGUUGUAAAGAUCUGGAUGGAUAUUUAUGUGUGCCUAUGCCAAGAGGCACACUUAUUACUAUUCGUCGGAUUUAUUAUGGAUUUAUUAUUAUUAUGUGUGCCUAUGCCAAGAGGCACACAUAUUACUAUUCGUCGGAUUUAUUAUUAUUAUUAUUGUGUGGAUGCUGGAGGCAUCCACACUAUUGAGUUCCUGUUUCUCUUUAUUCUUUAUUGUGUGGAUGCUGGAGGCAUCCACACUAUUGAGUUCCUGUUUCUCUUUAUUCUUUAUUAUUAUUAUUAUUCUUAGGACUUCCGUACACUUUUCGCCGUGGAUCUACUUCCACAAUUUUCAGCCGAUUUUCACCGUUCAAAUUUUAAACUAUUCUGCUAUUUCUGCUAAUGAUGGCUAUAUCUUUUGGUAUUUUAUACUAUUAUACUUUUUAAAAUAUUAAGCUUUUUUCCUUUAAUUUGUCCCAUUGAAAUGAAUGGGAAACUUCCUCAAUUCUGCUAAAACUUGCUUGUUUUUGAAACUUAACUACUUUUUCCUACUUUCACGUAGAACAACCAUUCAAACUUUAAAAUGUUCUCAAAUUAUUGGGCUAUUCAGGAAUAAAUCAGCUUUUUCAAAUCUUUCACCGUUUUACUUUUAUGCCUCUUAAAGUUUUGAGUUGCAAAAUUGUGAUUUUUCACAAAAUACAUGCGUUGUUAUGGUUGCUAUGCACUUGGCUUCCAGUGUGCCACUGUAGGUUUCGCAGUCUUCUCUUCAUGUCCGAACAACUCCUUGCUACUUGCUCAAUUUUCACUCAACUUCCACAAAUUAUACAUCAAAACGUAGGUAUUUUUGCUGGCUUUCCGAAAAUGUCACUAUCAUGGUUGUGAGAUUUAUAGAAUUUUGGCAAAUCUCCUCAGACCAACACAAAGUCUCAAAACUCUCCAUAGAAAGUCAAUGGAGAGCUUGUUCAAAAUCACCGCUUGAUUUCUGUAAUGAGAGGCAUAUUCGAAUCGUCAUAUCUCCUUAACGAAGCAAAGUUAAGACAUGAGGCUUGUCCCAGUAUAUCUUCAGACACUCCUGACGCUCACAAUUCAAGAAUUUCUUUCUCACCUAUUACCGUUCUGAAAUGAGUUAGACUUGUUUGAGGGUAGGAAAUUCGUCGUUUGCUCAGAUUUCUUCAGAUUUCAAACUCUGGAAAUGAACCACUUUUUUCUCUCGUCAUAUCUUUUUAAUGAAUUCCCACAGAGACCUGAAAAUUUCCAUGACUGUUCACCAAAGCCUGCUGUCUCUUACGGUGAAAGAAUGAUAUCGAUACUCCAAAUAGAUUUAGAGUUAGAAAGCGUUGUUUGAGGGGAAGACAAGGCAGUUUUUGCUGCGCCUCUACUCAGUUAUGGUGCAUUACAAGUCAAAUAUCUUCAAUAAUUCAUAUUUUAAUGAUAAAUUGUCAACACUGUAAGAUUCCUCCAUCUCUUCUGAACAAAACGGUGUAAGAAUGACCGUUCUAGCCCCUACGGUUAGGAAAUUAUGGCCAUUUGUUUGAGAGGAAUCCUCACUAUGAGAAAUUCACUGCAGAAAUCCUGUCUCUGUGCUCUGUGUGUGUAAAAACGGCUGCACCUGUUUUGGCGGGAAAAAGUACACAGCCUCUCUGAUUGGUGGAUUCAAAUUUAGCAGCUCCCAGGCUGCUUGAAUGACCUAGCAAGUUGCUCCUCUCUCCCUGUGUGUGUGUGUGUGUGUGUGUGUGUGACAGAGAGAGAGAAAGAGAGGGCGAGACAGAGUUUUUAUGGGAGCAUCUUAUUGUAUGAUUUAAAUUCAAUAUAUUUAGACUGGUUGACUGAAUUUGAUCCUGUGUGUGUCUCUCUGUGCAUGUGUGUUUCCAUAUGUUUCCAUAUUUGUGAUUGUGUGACUGUUACACUUUUUUUGCUGAGUUUUUUUUUCAUUUAACAAGUACAUUUGAAGGACCCUUAGCAUUUUCAGCAUUUUUUCAGCUGUCCAUUUUGCGUUUCCAAUUUUUCUGUUUAAGUUAUUACUAUUGUGCUGAAUCAUACUAUUUCUGCUAUUUUAUAAGAUUUGUGCUAAAUACAGUAUUUCUGCCCAAUAUAGUAUUUCUGAUUAAUUAUAGUUUUUCUACCAUAUCAUAGUACAGUAUUUUUGCUUUUUAUACCAUUUUUAUAGGAUAUUUAUAUUGCUUAAUAUAGUAUUU
This 2312-nucleotide long non-coding RNA is filed under the name Oreochromis niloticus (Nile tilapia). RNAcentral describes it as "lncRNA (ENSONIG00000033242.1)". The record is from RNAcentral. Lineage: Eukaryota; Metazoa; Chordata; Actinopteri; Cichliformes; Cichlidae.